Molecule: non-coding RNA, 20 nt
Filed under: Arabidopsis thaliana (thale cress)
Lineage: Eukaryota; Viridiplantae; Streptophyta; Magnoliopsida; Brassicales; Brassicaceae
Source: RNAcentral
GGUUCUGGUUCGGGUCGGAU